GAUGAACGCUAGCUACAGGCUUAACACAUGCAAGUCGAGGGGCAGCGGGUUGAAAGCUUGCUUUCAAUGCCGGCGACCGGCGCACGGGUGCGUAACGCGUAUCAAACCUGCCUCAUACUCGGGGAUAGCCUUGCGAAAGUAAGAUUAAUACCCGAUGUUGUUGCUUUCUCGCAUGGGAGAGUAACCAAAGAUUUAUCGGUAUGAGAUGGUGAUGCGUCCGAUUAGGUAGUAGGCGGGGUAACGGCCCACCUAGCCUUCGAUCGGUAGGGGUUCUGAGAGGAAGGUCCCCCACACUGGAACUGAGACACGGUCCAGACUCCUACGGGAGGCAGCAGUGAGGAAUAUUGGUCAAUGGGCGAGAGCCUGAACCAGCCAAGUAGCGUGCAGGAUGACGGCCCUCCGGGUUGUAAACUGCUUUUAGUUGGGAAUAAAAAAAGGGACUUGUCCCUUCUUGUAUGUA
RNAcentral lists this ribosomal RNA (460 nucleotides) under Alloprevotella sp. oral taxon 308. RNAcentral's name for it is "bacterial SSU rRNA". It matches the Rfam family "Bacterial small subunit ribosomal RNA", at positions 28 to 477 of the family's 1533-position model. Lineage: Bacteria; Pseudomonadati; Bacteroidota; Bacteroidia; Bacteroidales; Prevotellaceae. The record is from RNAcentral.